This is a non-coding RNA of Anabaena sp. CRKS33, 185 nucleotides long. The record is from Rfam. NCBI's taxonomy places the organism in Bacteria, Bacillati, Cyanobacteriota, Cyanophyceae, Nostocales, Nostocaceae.
GUUCCACUACGACGAUUGGUGACUGCCAUCAAGUUUUUUGAUCUAUGUCUUUAACAACAAGGGAGCUAAAUACUUCUCAUGGCAGUAUACCGGGCUUGUACCCGGAAACUUUAAAUGAGAAACCUCGGUUCCCACCUGGUUUAACCAGGUCAUAAACUUAGGUAAAACGGCGUUGUGGUGAACUA